UUUUUAGAAUAAGUAUGUCCUAUGCAACAUUUGGGACAUACUUAUCCUAAAA
Equus caballus (horse) is the source of this 52-nucleotide non-coding RNA. The record is from Rfam. Lineage: Eukaryota; Metazoa; Chordata; Mammalia; Perissodactyla; Equidae.